UACGUAGGGACCAAGCGUUGUUCGGAUUUACUGGGCGUAAAGGGCGCGUAGGCGGCGUGGUAAGUCAGUUGUGAAAUCUCCGAGCUUAACUCGGAACGGCCAACUGAUACUGCUGUGCUAGAGUGCAGAAGGGGCAAUCAGAAUUCUUGGUGUAGCGGUGAAAUGCGUAGAUAUCAAGAGGAAUACCUGAGGUGAAGACGGGUUGCUAGGCUGACACUGACGCUGUGGCGCGAAAGCCAGGGGAGCAAACGGG
Molecule: ribosomal RNA, 253 nt
Filed under: uncultured bacterium
Lineage: Bacteria
Description: partial 16S ribosomal RNA
Rfam family: Bacterial small subunit ribosomal RNA
Source: RNAcentral